RNAcentral lists this transfer RNA (69 nucleotides) under Anolis ortonii. RNAcentral describes it as "tRNA-Cys". The record is from RNAcentral. Lineage: Eukaryota; Metazoa; Chordata; Lepidosauria; Squamata; Anolidae.
AGCCCCGGAGCCUUUUAGGGCUCUUCUUCAAACUUGCAAUUUGACGUAAAUCACUUACUCCGGAACUUU